AGGGGAGCAGUUGCAGACUUUUUGUGACUUAGUAUUUCAGAAAUUUAGCUGCAAUAUCUGUAACUAGAUAGAGCCAAAUUUUUAGCAGCAGAUGUAUUUGAGUCACACACCACCAAAGUACAUUACCAGUGGCAAAUCCACAGGGGGCUGCAGCAACCUCAAAGCAUGUUACCAGCGGCGAACCCUCAGGGGGCUGCAGCAAUCUCCAAGUGUGUUACCAGUGGCAAACCCACAGGGGGCUGCAGCAACCUCAAAGCAUGUUACCUGCGGCAAACCCACAGGAGGCUGCAGCAACCUCAGUUCUUGCCUCCUCAGAAGAAAGACUUCAACUGAGGAGCAUAAAGCAGAAGGAGAGACAGAGGCAAGUCUUAGAGCAGGAGUGAGAGUUUAUUAAAGAGCUUUAGAACAGGAAGGAAAGUACACUGGGAAGAGGCCGAGCGGGAGACCUGAGAGAUCACGUGCAUGGCUCACCUUUGACUUGGGGGUCUCACACUGUUGCAGGACUUUUGCUCAGUUCAGCUAAAGACGGGGUCCUUGUCACAUUGCCACAAAAGAUGAGGCUCAUAGACAAUUUGAAGCAUGAGAAAGGCAGGGUUUUAUUGGGUAGAAAGGAAGAAAAUGGGAAACAGAGACUCUUAGUGAAGCGAGAGAGUGUUUCCUGCCAGUGCACUUCCCACCUCACGAAAUGAAUCCCAGGUUCACCCAGGAGGAGGAGGGGCCAGGCUCCUCCCCGCUGCAAGUGGCGUGAGCCUCUGUGGCUCCACCCC
RNAcentral lists this long non-coding RNA (767 nucleotides) under Pan troglodytes (chimpanzee). RNAcentral describes it as "long non-coding RNA NONPTRT002414". Lineage: Eukaryota; Metazoa; Chordata; Mammalia; Primates; Hominidae. The record is from RNAcentral.